Molecule: ribosomal RNA, 207 nt
Filed under: uncultured bacterium
Lineage: Bacteria
Description: partial 16S ribosomal RNA
Rfam family: Bacterial small subunit ribosomal RNA
Source: RNAcentral
UGCGUAGGCGGUCGGCUAAGUCUGAUGUGAAAUCUCCGGGCUCAACCCGGAAACUGCAUCGGAGACUAGUCGGCUAGAGGAUUGGAGGGGGGACUGGAAUUCUCGGUGUAGCAGUGAAAUGCGUAGAUAUCGAGAGGAACACCAGUGGCGAAGGCGAGUCCCUGGACAAUUCCUGACGCUGAGGCACGAAAGCUAGGGGAGCAAACA